CACUGACAUUACGAUACCCCCCGUAGUCCCAGCCGUAAACUAUGCGCGUUAGGCGUACUGGUGACCACGAGUCACCGGGGUGCCGAAGGGAAACCGUGAAACGUGCCGCCUGGGAAGUACGGUCGCAAGGCUAGAAACUUAAAGGAAUUGGCGGGGAGCACCACAACGGGUGGAGCCUGCGGUUUAAUUGGACUCAACGCCGGAAAUCUCACCGGAUAGGACAGACAUAUGAUAGUCGGGCUGAAGACUCUACUUGAUGAUCUG
RNAcentral lists this ribosomal RNA (264 nucleotides) under uncultured archaeon. Its description in RNAcentral is "partial 16S ribosomal RNA". It matches the Rfam family "Archaeal small subunit ribosomal RNA", at positions 718 to 982 of the family's 1478-position model. The record is from RNAcentral.